AAUAUUGCACAAUGGACGAAAGUCUGAUGCAGCGACGCCGCGUGAGGGAGGAAGGCCUUCGGGUUGUAAACCUCUUUCAGUAGGGAAGUAGCUUUUCGGAGUGACGGCACCUGCAGAAGAAGCGGCGGCUCACUACGUGCCAGCAGCCGCGGUAAUACGUAGGGCCCAAGCGUUGUUCGGAAUUAUUGGGCGUAAAGGGCUCGUAGGCGGUUUGUCGCGUCUGCUGUGAAAACUUGGGGCUUAACCCUAAGCUUGCAGUGGGUACGGGCAGGCUAGAGUGCGGUAGGGGAGAUUGGAAUUCCUGGUGUAGCGGUGAAAUGCGCAGAUAUCAGGAGGAACACCGAUGGCGAAGGCAGAUCUCUGGGCCAUGACUGACGCUGAGGAGCGAAAGCGUGGGGAGCGAACAG
RNAcentral lists this ribosomal RNA (407 nucleotides) under uncultured bacterium. Its description in RNAcentral is "partial 16S ribosomal RNA". It matches the Rfam family "Bacterial small subunit ribosomal RNA", at positions 360 to 775 of the family's 1533-position model. The record is from RNAcentral.